RNAcentral lists this unclassified non-coding RNA (458 nucleotides) under Hevea brasiliensis (rubber tree). Lineage: Eukaryota; Viridiplantae; Streptophyta; Magnoliopsida; Malpighiales; Euphorbiaceae. The record is from RNAcentral.
GUCUUUGUUGGAAGGCCUGUUAUCUAUGGGCUGGCCGUGAAAGGAGAACAUGGAGUGAGACAGGUGAUUGAAAUGCUAAAGAAUGAGCUUGAGCUCACCAUGGCCCUUUCUGGCUGUCCUAGCCUGAAAGAUAUUAGCAGGAGCCAUGUAAGGACCGAGUGUGAGAGGCUCCAAUCGAUGCUCUAAUGCUGCCACAAAGUGUUAGAUAAAUCCAGGAUGGACGAUUCUGAUAAUCAUUUGUGCAUCAAAUAGUUGGUUUCAAGCAUUGUUAAAACUGCAUUCAACUAGGACUAGCAGUAUGUAUGCUAUGCUUUUGUUGUUGAUGGCCCUGAAGCACCCUCUGUUAGUGACCAAGAGAAUGGGAAAUAUCAAUAACAAUAAUCUCGAUUUGGGUUUGCUGUUAUUUGGGUUGUAAUCAUAUGAUAUGAGGUCUGGUCAGUUGGAUAUCUUUGCUUUUU